AUCCGAGCGGCGCUUCCUCAUCACCAGCCGUCACCUCUGCCUCCAGCCCCACACCAUCAUUAGUAGCCACCGCCGUCAAUCAAUUACGUUCUUUUCUCCGACGAGGGAAACUCACUCCUCUUUGUUCAAAACCAUUAUUGUUACUCCUUCCUUCCUGACCUGGACUGCUCUUUCGAAUUUUGACUUAUUUCCUGAAUUUUGAUUGUAACUUGUGGCAGACUGUUGGGGCAGCGUUUUGAAAUAAAGUUGACACUACCCUAAUAGCAAGCAAAGCAUUAAGCUCUCUCUCAGUGGCGUACUAACAAUCGUGAGUGAAAGCAUCCAAUCAUAAUCCUAGGGCCAUGAAGACGCUUAAGUCGUGCACUAAAUCAGCUUCUGUUGCGAACAAGAAGAGGAAAAGAAAAGAAGGCAGAGGUGACAACAAAAGGAAAGAAUCUAAUACUGAAAAACAUCUUAGGAAGCUGAACUAUGCGUAUGAUGACAUGGAACAAGUGUCUGAUGAUGAGUCUCCUAGAAGCAAAGGUGUGGAAAGUAUGUCAGAAGACCCUGAGGUUAAUUGACAAUAGAGCCUAGAAAAUUGACAAUACAUUGUUAAUUGGGAUUUAUGUGUAAUUCAUUCUUGUUUUUAACAUAUUUUAUAGAAAUAAUUUUUUUUA
Molecule: long non-coding RNA, 656 nt
Organism: Prosopis cineraria
Lineage: Eukaryota; Viridiplantae; Streptophyta; Magnoliopsida; Fabales; Fabaceae
Exons: 3
Source: RefSeq, a predicted model, not a curated record